This is a long non-coding RNA of Poecilia latipinna (sailfin molly), 2101 nucleotides long. RefSeq lists it as uncharacterized. The record is from RefSeq and is a predicted model, not a curated record. Lineage: Eukaryota; Metazoa; Chordata; Actinopteri; Cyprinodontiformes; Poeciliidae. The transcript is spliced from 4 exons.
AUAUAUAUAUAUAUGUGUGUGUGUGUGUGUGUAUGUAUAUUCAGCCAUUUUGGCUCCUGCAUCCUGGUCCUUCGCUGCAGCUCGCGCACACGCAGGUGGCAUGCGCACGCGCCGAGGAACAAAGCAUUCCAUCAGCGCCAGUGACAUCACUGCAGUCAGCUCAGCUGUUUCUGCCUGCUGCUAUAAAUAGUGUGGUGGAGACAGCGUAUUGCCUAUGCAGAAAAUAUUUGACUCCUGACCUGAAGCCGGGAGAGAUUUGUUUUUUUUUUCUUUUUUUAAAUAUUGCCUAAUCUGCUCCUUUACAACAGCUGUGAAGCAUAGGUGGAAUUUGCACAUUACUUUAUAAAACUUUGUGUCAUCUCUUAGUUGAAAGCAGGGUUUGUGGAAACCUAAAAAAAAAAAAAACAUCUUGUUUUUCCUAUGUGAGAUUUGAAUACAUUUUGUAGAGCAAGAUGUUUGAAGCGCAGGAUUGUCCAUGCCGAGUAAUGUUCUUUGAAGGGACAAUUACUCAAAGCUACAAAACUGCCAUGUAGAAUAAAUUAAACUAGAUAAGCCACUACUACUGAACAUGUUUUACAUUUUGUCACAAACCCACAACUGGAUUUUAUUGUAAUUGUAUGUGAUAGAUCAUGUUUAACACAGUUCAUGCUUUGUACCUGCUUUGCAGGCAUCAUACGCAAUAACUGAGACUGAAAUCUAUUUGGCUAUUGUUUCCUGAUAAUAAGGUGUAACCCCAACUUGGUGAUUUUGAUUUAAAUCACCAGUUUUGUUAAUAUAAGAAUCAGAAAUCAUUUUAUUUGCCUUUGUCAUGGAUUUGUUGCUAAAUCAAACCUAUUGUUGCACAACAAGCGACUUGUUUCUUUUUAUUUUCUCCUUGCCAUACUUUAAUAAAGAUCAGAUUUAUAAAGGCGCCUCUGAUACUUAUCCUCUCAACAUAAUUGACGACCACGCCUGUCAAUCAUUCUAGCGGGUUUGUCAGCAACUGACCAAUCAGCGGUCGCUAUUUGUCGCGAAGUGCACGCCUCUUACCUGGAGGAGCGUCACUUCCGUCAACAUUGUCGGGGCUUGUCACACUGCGGUCAUAGAGAUUUGAGGAAAAUAACAAGAAAUCAUGUACAAAUGUUGCCAGUAGGGAAUAUGUAAUCCCGACAGCUAUUACAGAGGACGGAACACAAUUUAUUAGAUUUUCAAAACUAAUGGAGUCCGGAAUAAUGCAAGAAAUGGAUCAAGGCCUGCAGCUGACCUCAUGUCCAGUUGAAUGAAACUGUGAUCGACGGCAACUGCCACAUGUUCGUCUGUAUGAAGGUGAUGACCCUCUGCAUGGACUGGAGCAAUUCGCAGCCAAGAGUGAAGCGACCUGAAUGAGAGUCGGCUCCCUCUAGGUUGGAGGAGUCUUGGUGUCUCGGUAACAGGUGGUGGUAGGACAGAAAGGGAUAUGAACAGACAGAGUGGGGCCUCGUCUGCAGUAACAAGGGCGAUGAUCCGGUCCGAUGUGGAGAAGAACGAGUAGAACCAAAAAGCAAACCUCUCUAAGUGUUCCAGCUCUCAUACAAGUUCUUGGCAUUUGAAUUGUGACUGAAAGAACAAGAUUCUGAGCAGAUAAAGAUCGACAGUAUUAUACUAACAUUACUCCAGCCUACACGGCUAGGUUCAACACAGAUUGACCUUGAUAUGGAAACUGUAGCUCUUCUCCCGCCCCCCUUCUUCCAUCAUCAUAAUGGUUCUCUGAGAAGAACCUCGACAGUUUCAUGCUGCAUCAUUCACACACACCGUGCAGUUCUGCUCCUCGUUGUCGUCCUUCCCCCUCACUCAUCCUCCUGCCCUUUUAUUCCUCCGAAGUCCUUGAUUCACGUAUAUUCUGCUGAAGAGCUCCUAUACGUCAGGCCGGCAGCAAGGGAGACAAAGACAGGCCGCAGUUAAUUACCUAUCAUUUAGAGCAGAUGGCUGCAGACGAUAUGUAAAUGUGUGUGUUUGUCUGCAAGUGUGUGCUUAUGCGAUUGUUUGUAUGACUGCAUAUGUGUUUUCAGAUUUGCUUAGCAAAAACCAUUAAAAUGGUGUGAAGAAGUUUUGCAAUUAAAAUGAUGAUGCGGAUUGUUUUGCU